GUGAUUCGUCACACUAUCAUUAACUGAAUCCAUAGGUUAAUGAGGCGAACCGGGGGAACUGAAACAUCUAAGUACCCCGAGGAAAAGAAAUCAACCGAGAUUCCCCCAGUAGCGGCGAGCGAACGGGGAGCAGCCCAGAGCCUGAAUCAGUGUGUGUGUUAGUGGAAGCGUCUGGAAAGGCGCGUGAUACAGGGUGACAGCCCCGUACACAAAAAUGCACAUGCUGUGAGCUCGAUGAGUAGGGCGGGACACGUGGUAUCCUGUCUGAAUAUGGGGGGACCAUCCUCCAAGGCUAAAUACUCCUGACUGACCGAUAGUGAACCAGUACCGUGAGGGAAAGGCGAAAAGAACCCCGGCGAGGGGAGUGAAAAAGAACCUGAAACCGUGUACGUACAAGCAGUGGGAGCACGCUUAGGCGUGUGACUGCGUACCUUUUGUAUAAUGGGUCAGCGACUUAUAUUCUGUAGCAAGGUUAACCGAAUAGGGGAGCCGAAGGGAAACCGAGUCUUAACUGGGCGUUAAGUUGCAGGGUAUAGACCCGAAACCCGGUGAUCUAGCCAUGGGCAGGUUGAAGGUUGGGUAACACUAACUGGAGGACCGAACCGACUAAUGUUGAAAAAUUAGCGGAUGACUUGUGGCUGGGGGUGAAAGGCCAAUCAAACCGGGAGAUAGCUGGUUCUCCCCGAAAGCUAUUUAGGUAGCGCCUCGUGAAUUCAUCUCCGGGGGUAGAGCACUGUUUCGGCAAGGGGGUCAUCCCGACUUACCAACCCGAUGCAAACUGCGAAUACCGGAGAAUGUUAUCACGGGAGACACACGGCGGGUGCUAACGUCCGUCGUGAAGAGGGAAACAACCCAGACCGCCAGCUAAGGUCCCAAAGUCAUGGUUAAGUGGGAAACGAUGUGGGAAGGCCCAGACAGCCAGGAUGUUGGCUUAGAAGCAGCCAUCAUUUAAAGAAAGCGUAAUAGCUCACUGGUCGAGUCGGCCUGCGCGGAAGAUGUAACGGGGCUAAACCAUGCACCGAAGCUGCGGCAGCGACGCUUAUGCGUUGUUGGGUAGGGGAGCGUUCUGUAAGCCUGUGAAGGUGUACUGUGAGGUAUGCUGGAGGUAUCAGAAGUGCGAAUGCUGACAUAAGUAACGAUAAAGCGGGUGAAAAGCCCGCUCGCCGGAAGACCAAGGGUUCCUGUCCAACGUUAAUCGGGGCAGGGUGAGUCGACCCCUAAGGCGAGGCCGAAAGGCGUAGUCGAUGGGAAACAGGUUAAUAUUCCUGUACUUGGUGUUACUGCGAAGGGGGGACGGAGAAGGCUAUGUUGGCCGGGCGACGGUUGUCCCGGUUUAAGCGUGUAGGCUGGUUUUCCAGGCAAAUCCGGAAAAUCAAGGCUGAGGCGUGAUGACGAGGCACUACGGUGCUGAAGCAACAAAUGCCCUGCUUCCAGGAAAAGCCUCUAAGCAUCAGGUAACAUCAAAUCGUACCCCAAACCGACACAGGUGGUCAGGUAGAGAAUACCAAGGCGCUUGAGAGAACUCGGGUGAAGGAACUAGGCAAAAUGGUGCCGUAACUUCGGGAGAAGGCACGCUGAUAUGUAGGUGAAGUCCCUCGCGGAUGGAGCUGAAAUCAGUCGAAGAUACCAGCUGGCUGCAACUGUUUAUUAAAAACACAGCACUGUGCAAACACGAAAGUGGACGUAUACGGUGUGACGCCUGCCCGGUGC
Molecule: ribosomal RNA, 1710 nt
Filed under: Escherichia coli
Lineage: Bacteria; Pseudomonadati; Pseudomonadota; Gammaproteobacteria; Enterobacterales; Enterobacteriaceae
Description: partial 23S ribosomal RNA
Rfam family: Bacterial large subunit ribosomal RNA
Source: RNAcentral